AGAGUAGUUGAUAUUUUGAUAAUCAAUCUCUGAUCUUGCAUGGAUACCAUGUUUCUUAAAAGAAUUAGUAUUUUGGGUUAUGCACUGCUUAUGGUUGUAGGAUUGGGGACUUGUUUAUAGAAUCAUAGAAAUGAUUUUCUAUAAUACUUUCUUUUAAAUAAAAAUGUACUGGGAUGUAAUAUGAAGAUAUAAUAUAAUAUGCAGUGCAUUAUCCAAAAAAAGUAGAUAAUUGGUGGAAUAGGAUGUAGUGAUGAUAAUACCUUUUUGUUUUUAAUUUUCAGUAUUCAUGCCAUAGUAAAAUAUUACUGUUUGGAAACUUUGGUAUAUUCUUGUGGCUACUCUUUUUAAUUGAACUGAGCUUGUGUUGGGCAGCUCUCUUUUGGGGUAUGCUUGUGUACUUUUUAACAGAGGUGUUAAAGUCUAGCCUGACUCCAUGUCCUGAAAGAACAUAACAGUAUUUAAGAUAUUAUUUUUUUUAGCCUCUCAUGUCUAGUUGGCAUUAAAAAGACCCUGAUACUUCACUAUACUUGAAUCCCUAAUGCACCUCAGUCUUUGAAUUUUUGAGACACACUGAACACACUAAAAUCUGUAGCAAUAGAAAAAAUAAAACAUUUAACUUGAACCAAGCAAGAAAAUACAGAUAUAGUUGAAUGCAUUAAUUAUGAACAUAAUCAUGUUAAAAUUGUUACUAUGCAGCACAGGACUUCAUUCUUAUAGUAUACUUGGAUUGAAACUUUGAAUCAUUUUUAAUAACUGAUUAAAUGCCUCAAAGACACUUGUAAAGUCAUAGUACUAUUGUUUUGGAAGUCAUUAGCAGACCUCAGAUUGCAGAAUAAUGAGUAUGUUGUAUGCAAUUUGAUUUUAAGGAAGGGGUAGUCUGUUGGAUUAUAUUAUUUGAUACUAAAAAAUCAGCUGGGUGUAAAUGGUUAAAUCAUUUUUAUUCUUCCCCCCAAAUUUGGAGUUAAAAUGAGUUUCAUCCUAGAGGUAGGAAGGUAAAUUCUCCUAUUUAUGAAAGAAGCUUUGUGUGAUGCUAGGUAUAACUCAGCUUCAUCCAGAUGGUGUUUACAUUUGAUUUAUUUGGGGCUUUGUUGAAGUAAUAUACUUGGAAGAUAUUUCUUUUACUCUGAUGAAAAUAGGAUUCAGAGUAUGAAUUUAAAGCUGUUUUUAUGAAUAUUUCUGAUCAGUGAUAAUCUCUACCUACUUUCUCAACCAAAUAAGCCCAUUCAAGUUUUUUAGAGCCUAUAAUCUUACUGAAAAAUGUUUCAUCAGUAUGCUUUGUUGAGCGUGGAUUUUACAAAUAUUCAAAACAUUAACCACAAAAUACAACAAAAGCACUUAGGUCUGUCAUUAUCUUUCAAGUUCCUUUUGUUUCUCCUUAAACUACAGAUGAAAACUUUAUCAUAGAGACUUUUGAAGAAUACUGAGAUAUCAAUACUUUUCUUCAAGAAUUAUGAAUGCUUCUCUCUCUUCUGUAGAAAUCCUCUAUUGCUAAGUAGCAAAGAAUAAUUACAACCAACAGUACCUUUUUUUUUUUUGUUUGGAUGGCGGAAGUGUUGUUUUAAAUUCCAGUUAUUUGGGUUAAUACAAGCUUAUAAAGAGAAAAAUGUUUUUUAAAAACAUAAAUGUGCAUUAAAAUGAUGGCACUGCUUAACAGUUUGAUAAGGUAGAGGAGUUUUUAAUUCUUAUAAUCUCUAUUCUCUUAACAACUAUUAGUAAAUAGUCACAUUUGCACUCAGUAAAAGAUUGGCAUUUGUUAGUGGUUUAUAUUUGAUAUUAGUAUUACCCAGUAUCACAAUCAUGAAAUGGUCUUCACAUUGUAAGGAGCCACGUCAGUUUUCAGUUUGUAGUAUUGUUUUGGCUAUUUUAUUUCAAACGAAAGUUUGAACACUGGAAAAUCAUUGCUCAGUGGUGUUUAAUUUGGAACUUGGAUUAUUUAUCUAAGGAUGUCUGUAUAUUUUGUCAAUGAGUACUAUUGCGCUGCCAUUAUGGUGAUUGUCAUGGUUCUAUAUAAAUGCCCUCCAUCUGUCCCUCUACUGUUGCAUGUUUUCGGUGGUUUGGAAGUUUUGUAUAUUUAUUGUAUUAACACAGAGUGUCAUAAAAUAAAAUGCUGUUUACUGGAUGUUUGUUUGUGUAAUUUUAAAUACUGUAUUAGCACUUCAGAGGCAGUAAUUAUACAGAGGACUCAAUGUAUAUAGAAAUACCACAUUUGAUUUUUUAAAAUGACAUGACAGUUCUUCUGUUGGUUUAGACCUUUGUAGGUAGUGGAACAUGAGAUUCACUAGUUAAAUAGUUCGACCACUGUAAGGUCAAAAUACGCAGACUAGAAGCUAGAUUGAAAACAGAAAACCCGUGUUGUGGCCCAGACCUCCCCUGCGGGCUCACAUGGACGCCUCUGUUCUAGUAUUGUGUUGACGCGAUUGGGCUUGUUUUCUGUUCCCUAAACUCACUACCUGUUGUUGUUUUAUGUACUGAUGAAAGUACCAAUUUGUGUAUUGUUGGAUUUUUCAUCUGAUUAUCUAAAGAGGAUAUAAAAAAUAUAGUCUAAAAAAAGUGUUCAUGGUGAAUCUCAUUUGAGAAAUUCAUGUUAAAUUAAAAUAGGAACAGCAUUUUAGUUUUCUGGGUGUUACCUAAAAGUGACUUUGGACUUUCACUGGAUAUAGGCCUUUUGUAAAUCAUGUUGAUACAAUGUAUGGUUUGCA
RNAcentral lists this long non-coding RNA (2699 nucleotides) under Bos taurus (domestic cattle). RNAcentral describes it as "long non-coding RNA NONBTAT001772". The record is from RNAcentral. Lineage: Eukaryota; Metazoa; Chordata; Mammalia; Artiodactyla; Bovidae.